Molecule: ribosomal RNA, 381 nt
Filed under: marine Metazoa environmental sample
Lineage: Eukaryota; Metazoa
Description: SSU rRNA
Rfam family: Eukaryotic small subunit ribosomal RNA
Source: RNAcentral
AGCUCCAAUAGCGUAUAUUAAAGUUGUUGCAGUUAAAAAUCUCGUAGUUGGAUCUCGGGAGCAGGCUGGCGGUCCGCCUCGCGGCGGUUUCUGCCCCUCCUGCCCCCCCUUCCCGUUUUUCCCUGGUACUCUUCGUUGAGCGCCCUUGGUGGACGGUUCGUUUACUUUGAAAAAAUUAGAGUGUUCAAAGCAGGCAGCUCGCCUGAAUAUUGGUGCAUGGAAUAAUGGAAUAGGACCUUGGUUCUAUUUUGUUGGUUUUCGGAACUCGAGGUAAUGAUUAAGAGGGACAGACGGGAGCAUUAGUAUUACGGUGUUAGAGGUGAAAUUCUUGGAUCGCCGUAAGACUAACUACUGCGAAAGCAUUUGCCAAGCAUGUUUUCU